This 163-nucleotide small nucleolar RNA is filed under the name Lachancea fermentati. Lineage: Eukaryota; Fungi; Ascomycota; Saccharomycetes; Saccharomycetales; Saccharomycetaceae. The record is from RNAcentral.
CACAUUUACAUUUACAUUCAAGAACGAGUAUUAUUGUAGUGGAUUUGUGACAAUUCAAGACAAUAUCUUCUCUACAACUCAGUUCGAGAAAAACAUGGUGUGGCAGUUAUGUAUUGGUGGAGCAUGUCAAGCGGUGCCACCGCCAUCUUCCUGCCUUACUCAC